UCAGUUUCCCGCCCUCGUCCUCCGGCGGGAUGCGCGAGCUGAGCGCGAGGCGGGGCUGCUCGCGCCGUGCUGCCGUGGGCGGCUCAGGAGCACUGCUGUGGGACCGGAGCUGCCUCCGUUUCUCUGGUGAUUCCUAACGGCUCUUUGCUCGGAACUUUCUGACUGAGAAGUGCCCUGUUCCCUUUAAUGGGAGAAGAACCUGCUUCGGUCUCCUCAGGGGCGAAUUCCUUCUUCACAGGAUUUCUGUCGCCACGGCAGGGCUGCCUGUAGACGUUACGCUUCUGUGCUGUGUUUAUCUAGGACAUUAACCGUGUGUUCUCCUUGGGAAUCACUUGGGAAGGAAGCAUCCCAUAACAAAGUGCUGAGCAGUUCUCUUAUCUCCUUCACUGUCAUCUCCCUCUGCAGUCCCUAUACAUUUUUCCCUAGGAUCAUCUACCUCACUAAAAUAUGUAAGUGCAUGGUAUCCCCUGUUGAACACAGCUGGUGCAAGCUUUAAAAGGGCUUGGAGAAUUACUACAAGAGAGAUUAAGAGGGAAAAACAGUUAAUGGGAAGGACAAAAGGAUCUCAGUCCUCUUGGUUUAUCGUAGGAAUGGUUAAACGUGAUCAAAGCACAUGGGGAACAGGCUUGAUAAGAAAGAAUAAGCAAAGAUAUAACCAACCUUCAAGAAUGGAAGCAAUAUAAAUUACAGCUAAAAACAGAGAGGGAGUCUAUGAUGGCGAGAAUAAGUAACAUCGGACUAAUUUCCAAGUAUAAUGGAAACUUCCAGAAGGCUUUUGGUAAUGACGUAGUCAUUCUGCAUUCAGACACCUGAUUCACCCUUCUUUAUAGCCCUGUAACAGCCUGAGUUAUAAAUGAUGAUCUUCUCCCAAAUGGCAAUAACCAGCAUUGUUACUCUGUCCCAUAACUUCUCAUGAGGAAGACGUGGAAGCAGCAUCUGCUGUAGCUUGAGCAUUUCAUUAGACAGGCCGUUUACUUUUCUCACACAGCUAAGACUACACACCAUAGCUGUAUCUCAGCCAGGAAGGUUUUAUUUGAAAAGAUGGUUCGUGGGUAACCUGGAAUGCUCCAGAAAUUGUUGCUACUGCUCCCAAGCCUGAAAAGCCAGAUACUCUUCCACUGGCUGAAGAAGCAUGAGACACUGUCUUGCUCAGAGCAAAAUAUCCUACUGAAUCCACCAGGCAAACCAACUGCAAUUCUGAGAAGUUGAGUUACAACACCAGAACAUCCAUCCAAGCUGCUUUCAAUGACUUUCAGUCUAUGGCAGGAAGAUGUCCGAGUGUCCGGUUCAUGCGCUUCACUGCAACAGACAACAAAGAAUUUGCUGGCCCACUGACUUUUGCACGGACAUUUCUCAUUGUUCUUUGGUGCAUCUUUUGGGAAGAAGGGACAAGACAAAGCUGUCAACUCAUCUUUCUGAAUGAGCACAUAGUGUGGCCUGAAAUAUGAUAUGGACAUCACGGUGACAGUGAAAAGGCCAUUGUCCACGUGGCCAUGGUGCAGCAUGGGACCACAGCUGGAAGCUAGAACAAGUUGGCAAACAUCUUGUUCCAACUUCUGCUAUGCCAUCUGGUUUCCAGUUAGGUAACUGACAUUAAAUGCAUUUUCUCUGUAUUACCAUCUGGCAGCUGCUUGUACAACAACAGAGCAACACGCAGAAUUUGGCUAGCAGUUGUCUUAAGAAUCAUAUCAAGGAUACUUGAAACACUGAUUCUGAAACAAAAAUGGCUUACAAGAAGGGAAGUUCCUUUGGCUGGUGGCUUUACAUGCACAGAGUAUUGCUGGUAGGAAAAUGGAACGGAAAGUUCUAUAUCCUUGUGUUUUGCAUGUAUUUAUUUUGCAGAAGUGCCAUAAAAGUUUCUAAGGGGGUAACCGUACAGGUUUCUGAAGAGUGUAAUGUUGUAUGAAGUUAAAUUUUGUUCAAAAGUGUCUACACUUUUGCCAUGCUAUGGACGUACGUUCCCUUUUCCAAAAUCAGAGGAGCAGGGCUUUUCUCUUUUCCUGAAAUGAUGUAUGCCAAAAGUGAGCUUGGUGAAGAACAAUCACAGUAAUUAAUUAGUACAGACACAAGUCUCAAAAAACACUGUAACAAAUUUCAUCUAAGAAUUUAAGAGUAGUUGGCUGUAGUGCAACUGGAGGGUGAAAUCCAGUGAAACGGCUGUAGCAACAGGUCUUCACAUUUCUGAAUGUCAAAUUAGUGAAGCUUAGGGGGCCAUUGUAACCUUGCUGGGUUUUAAGUGUAACAGAAAGGAGUGAUUUAAGACAUGCAGUAGAAGUUUCAAAAAAUGAUUCCCUGACAAAACAAAUCAAUAUAAAUAUUGUUUUCUACUUCCUGCUGUGCAUUCCUGCCUCUUUUCCAGUCCUUCUGCUCAUGCUCGUAAGAUCCUCAUAAUUCAAAGCGUCUGAAAACCAAUCCAGAAGAAAAAGAGGUUGUUGGUUGGUUGGGUUUUUUUCUUCCUUUGAUUUUUUUUUUUUUUUUUCCUUAAUUCCAGGAAGAACAAAACUGAACUGUAAGAUAUUUGGCAGUCAGAGUUAAGCAUGGGUUAUUUGAUGCAGUGCUAUUUUGUCUCCACUCUGCUGAAGAAUAUUCAGUGUUUAAUCUUCUACUAUGUUUCCAGACAUUUCUAUAGAUUAGACAUAGGAUAUAUACUAAGUCUCUGGAAAGAGGGCUUUGAGUUGACUUCAUAAAAACGAGAAUUUCAGAUUCUAAAUGCAUCAGCAGUUCUGCCAAUUCUCAUUCUUCUAAGCACUUUAUUAAAAGCAUAACUACCAUUGGAAUACCAGUCUUGCAAUUCAAUCACCUGAUCCAAAAUCCAUUAUUUGAAGAAUUACUUAAGUUUAUUCUGGUUUCAAUUUCAAACAGCUUUUUCACAUGAAAGUGUGCAAGGCAACCUCUUAAAAGCCACAAUCUGAGUGCAAGCAGAAGUAUGAAUAGGUUUGAGUCCACUUACAGAAAAAUUUGGGGAUGACCAGUCAGUAAUAUAGAAAUACAGUUAAUGGCUGUACAGAUGUUACAGGGCACAGUACUGUGAAGCAAAGGUUUUCUACUGCAGACAGGAGUAUAACGUAUACAGUCUAGCCUGCACACUGUAAUGUAUAAUAGAAGUUAUUCUACCCAUGCUGAUGCUGCUGUUUCCAAGAACUACAGCCUCCAUAUCUUCUGCUGUUGUUCCCUUUGAAAUUUCUCGGGAACAUUGGACAGAUGGUGCAUUUUGACUCCCCACGUACCGAAUUGGGAGUAUUUCUGUAGCGCAGACAGGAAUAAGUUGUACUAAAAGAGAGAAGAGAGUUGACAAAGUCAUCUUUGAUUUUAGAAGUGUAAGUGACCCGUGUUCUCUCACAACUCUAGUUUUAUGAGCGCAGAGUUAUUUAUGCAGCUUAAAGGAACUAAUGAUCAUCUGUCCCUGGUAAUUAGAGGCUUUCUGUGUCAUAAUUUCUUCUGCUCUUUGAAACUAAGUCUAGUUAACAUGGUUUUCCAUAUUACACGUUGUUAAAUGUUUCUUUAGCUAGCCAUAGAUGAGCUGCUUUGUGCCGCAAGUUACCUGACUUUGAAAAGCAUCCUCCUUUACACAAAGACAUGGAAAACAAAAACCUGUGCUGCCCUAAUCAGUGCAUAGUAACAGAGACGAGAAUUGAGAUAUCUUGUUAGGAAAUGCACGAACUAGAGGACAACUAACACAAAGCUAACAGGAAUGAUUACUUUGUUUUACCAUACUUCCAAGUAACGUACUACUUAUUCCUCAGACAAUGCAUCUUCCCUUCAGAACUCUGAGCCUUGUACUGAUUAGCACACGCCAGAAUCAUUGUGGCUGUUUUUCUGCUCCCCUUCUCUGCCUGGUUGAUUUGUUUAAAAAGAAAAAAGAUAAAAACGUGCGCAUGUAAACCCAACAUGGCCCAGCUUUCAGUCAAUCAGCUUCAACGUGGACUGAAAAGACUCUAUCUAGAGAAAAUACAUAAAUUAUUCAAGACUGUUGGGUGCUUCAAAAAAAUCACUUAAAAUUUCUCCCUGCCCCAAUCCUCUCCUGUCAGCUGUAUCCUAAUCAGCUCAGCACAGAAUAUUUCACUUCCUUUCACCCUUUUUGUGCCGAAACACCUUCUUACUUUCUUUCUGAUGCUUUCCCUGCUUGGACUCAUUGCAUGCUUUUUGUUUGGGUUUUUCCCACUCUGACUUCUGAGCAACCUCCUUUGAGGUCUGACCAUCUCAGUUUGUGUUGUUAGCAGGUUUGCAGUCCUUGGGUGUUUCUUCAGUGCGCUGCCUCUUCAGAGAUUCACCCGGAGGAUGGUGUGUAUUGCUAUUCCAGGAGGACAGCCAUGAGGUUAUGAUAAUUGGUCACCGAAUUCAAAGCUCACUGAGUUUGAUGCCAGAUAGGCAAAGACCAGCCGGUGAGAGGCAACAUGCAGCUGCACUCAGAAAGGAUACAGGAGAGAAAACGAAACAAUGUGCUGAUGCUGGUCUGUACCCAGUGGGCUUAUGGAAAAGCCUGCAGGAAAAAGUCACUGCCUCCAACCCUACCUGUGUCAGGUCUUCAAAACAUCACUGGGCACCCAGCACGUCCCCUGCAUUUCCACGGUGUCACGUCAGCUUGUCUCUUUUGGCAAUAAAGCCUUGUGCGCUGAGGGCACACACAGCUCACAAUGGAAGGGGAAAUAGCAAAUCUCUAACAAAACAUUGUGCUCCAACUAUUGUUUAUCCAGAGGAGAGAUGCGCAGCACGAAGACUGGUAGUUGUAUCACGCGUUAAGGCACGCUGUGUUCCCUCUUUCCUGCAGCAUCUCAUCCACUACCGGGCCACAGAGCACACCAGCGUGGGGAACACCAAGACCCCACUGGAUGAACCACCCCACAGCAGCCAAGAGAUGCUUUCCUCCCUUUUCUCAACUGUCCCAGGCCACGCAAUGUGCCAUUUUGCUUGUGCUCCAUCAAUAUAAUUGCCAGGAUUGUUGUUUCUGGUUGAGGAUCUCCAAGUGCUUUUUCUGAAUAGCCCGUGGAGACUCAUGCUUGUGUUACAUUCACCCAGCACAGUCAGAACUAAAAAUCCCUUUUCCCCAUCUCAGCUUUCAGCACGUUCCUCUGCACAGGAAGACUUCAAACCUCCAUCCACCGCACUGUCUCUUCAUGUAGUGAGAAAAUUGGUCUUAAUGCCUAAAAAUAAAGAGGACCUUUAUAUUAUCAGGCAUUUGGGCCUGAAAUAGGAAGCUCUCUUGUUGCUGACACCUUGCAUUUACCACGGCGUUUCUGCAGGGACGUCGUGCUACCUGGUUCCUAUCCCAAGCGGCCACCUCACAAAUUGACCAGCUGUAAGGGCUCCUGCUCCAGAACAAAGAAUCAAUAGCAUUCUGCUUGGAUAGCCUCAAAGGGUGCUUAACUUUUAAUUGAACACUGGAAAAGAAAUUGCAAAGUGCAGGAGCUCAAAACAGCAUGAAGCCCCGCAUAAUUAUCUUUCUCCUUGCAGUUCCUUAUGCAGGCUGGAGACCAAUUAAACACAUGCGCAGGCUAAAAAAUGAUUUGCAGAGAUUUAUCUUUUGUCAUUUUGCAAGUGGACUGAAGCAGAAAGUGAGUGUAAACAAGGAAUGGGAGCUGCUGCCCUGCACCGUUUGCUCUGGUACCUCAGCUUUUAGCUUUACCCACCUACAGCAAAGGCAGCACAGACUUUGCAUUUGCUUGCAGUGUCCUGAACUUGGCUCAUCUCAAUGGUGAACACCAGGAUUUGAGAGCAAUAUGGAUACGUAUAUGGGCUUUUUGAAGCGUUUUGAGACCGGUUUCUCAUGCUACACAGUUGUAUUCUUUAUCAAACUACUCGUCCUAAUGUGAGCUGUUGUGUUCAAGAAAUGUUUAGAUGUUGUACUGAGUGGGACAAUAUCCAUGGUAGGUGGACAGUUGGACUGGAUGAUCCUGGAGGUCUUUUCCAACCUUGGUGAUUCCAUGAUUCUACCAUUAUAACACAGAAGCAAAACAAAGUAAACACUUCUGUCUUCCUGCUGCAGAAAGGCAAAGCCAAGCCAGGUCUUUGUUGACAAAAUACACUCCAUUUUAAUCAUGCUAACAAGAAUACUUGUAACAUUCACUGAGUCAUACUUGGGCAGCAGCAGCACCGCUGCACUUGUCAAAGCUCAGGAAGGGUCUGGAUGACGCUCUCAGGUCUAAUUUUGGGGUGGUUCUCUGUGGAGCUGGGAGUUGGAAUGGAUGAUCCUUAUGGAUCCUUUCCAGCUUGUGAUAUUCUAUGAUUCUAUCAAAUGCCCCAAAUGAGAAACCCUUCUCAUGUCAGUGUGGCACUACAUCACCCUCGAAGGAGCUUUGAUGGUCCUGGGACUGCUUUGUACCCCCCCACACACACUGCCAGCCCUGUGCUCCCCUGCCUGCUCCGUGCCUAUAGCUCGGCACCAACAGCCCAUGCACGGCAGCCUGGGAUGCACGCUGUGAGCGCAGCCAGAGCUGCUGCACAUCCCCAUUGCACAGCCAAUGCUGCCACCCUAAUGCAAAGCAGAGAAUAUGUCCGCGCUGGGCAGGAGGGGAGAGCAUCUGCGCACGGGGCACGGAGGUGCGGGAUGUUUUAUCCGCUGUGUCGCAGGAAUGCAAAGGCAGACACAGCGCUGACUGCUGCGGGGCCCUUCCUCAGCCUCGGACGGGGUGAGAAGGGAGCCUUAAAAGAUGCGGAGGACCGUUAAAGCGACGGAAAAAAAGACUUCUCGCUGUCAUUUUUAUAGAUCUUAAGGCACGAGGCACCGCGAACGCUUUAAAAGCGCCCAGAAACGCGCCGAAUGCGGAAAAUAAAUGCUUUUGCCUAUUAGCUGAAUAUUUUGCCUCUGCGGACGGCGCUGCGCUGCUCCCUCCUCCGCCGGGAGUUUCCCGGGGCGGCGGGCGGCAGCCGCAUGGCAAUGCUGACAUCUGCCGGCGCUUUGCUGCCGUCCUGCAGCCCGCAGAGCGCGCGGUACGCAGCGCAGACACGGGGAGGAGCGGAGCUCGAAGCUGCGAGCCAAAUAACCGAGCGAGGACGGCGAUUAAUCGGUGAGCGCGGCUGUGCGCGCGUCGAAGCACCGCACCGCACCGCACCGCGAAGCGGCUGCGUGUCAGAAAGUUGCAGAGUUAAGAGGAAAACGGACUAUCCCUAAUUACGUCCUCUUAAGAGCGCCUUUAUCGGAGUAGCCCUAAUGAUGAGCGAUUGAUUUCUUUAAUAAACCAGUGCUGCGGCCGAUCCUGCUUGCGUCUCCUCAGCGCCAGCACCAGCCCGGCGCUGCGCACAACAUGGUGGUGCAAAACACAGCAGGCUCCUACAACAGCCCUGCCUGUCCUCCUGGUGGAAGCCCUCUGCAACAAGAAAAACUCCUCGGACGUGUUGAUGACAGUGGUGCUCUCUGGUAUGCCGGAGCGCGUGAGCCAAGCCCCUCUUUUGCUCUGUUUGGACUCAGAUCUCCUUUCUGCUUGCCUAACCCAGAGCAGCAACAUUUUUCCCUCUGCUUCCACAACAUCGUGCCGUGCUGAAUCAGAAGGGGAGGAGGGAAGCAAACAGUAAAAAGCUUCUUUGUGAGACAGAAAAUUGGUAUCUCGCUGAGCUGUUCUCUAUCCUAGCAUUUGUAACGCAGCACCGCCCGCCUCUUGCAACACGCUCGCGGUGCAUGCGUGCCACGAGGAGCUGUUUUCUUUGCGACUGGGGGAAGCUCAGCAAGGCGAGGUGCUGCCUCUGUCCCAGCUGUCCUCUGCGGCUGCCCCUGGCUUUCACCUUGCAGGGGCUCACGUGUGCCCACUGCCCUACAGAGCAGCAUUUCUUGCGAUGGUGCUUGCUGGUGCGAAGGAAGCAUCUGCAGACCCUCACUGGGGUGGAGGUCUUCAGGUUCUGGGCACUGAGUUCCCAGGUGGUUGUGGUAGGACAGGGAGGGAGAAGGACCACGUGAGCCAGCAGAAGUGGGGGUCAGGGCCCCCUGCCACCAGUCUUUGGCAGUACCUGAGCCAACACUUUGGCAUCGUGGCUGGAACUCCUUGGGAAAGGAGGUGGCUGAAGGAGCUCCUGUCCCUGUCCUGGCAGCGCGGGAGGUCCCACCCGUGGCCAGGAAAGCUGCCCCAAGGAAGAGACAGUGCUUUCCAGCAUGAGAAUAAAACUAAUAUGCAGCUGUAGCUAAAUGGAGAGAGAUGGAAAGCAAUGCUCCUGUGCCCCACAUGAGAGCAUUCAGCCCUACCCACAUGCCAGGGGGCACAAAGUAUGGGUGCAUCAGCAGCACAGCGGGGUGCUGGCCUCGUGUCCUGCUCUCUGUUGGUUAUGGCUGUGGGUUUUGGGGUUUUGGCACCUUCCACCUUCCCUGAUGUUUAGGGAGAGGUGAGGGGAGGCAUUUUGAGGUGAUGAUAUAAUCCUUCUCUGGUUGUUUUUUUGAGUGUAUGAGGUAAUGAAUGUCUUCAGUACUUUAAAGGUGCCGUGAGAAGCUGCAGGGCAUGUGUGGAUGCCAGCGUUUUAUGGAAGGGGUGGUUUUUACUGCCAACAGACUUAAAAAAAAUCCCUCGUAUUAAUAAGGCUGGAUGUUAUUGCAUGUCAGGAGUUAUUGUGAAUUAUAAAGUACUUCUUACUCGGUGGGUAAUGAAAACACUUGGCGCUCGGUCCCAGUCGCUAAGGGUAGAUGGUGGCGGCUUUAUCUACAAUAGCCAACUUGACCCGGAACUUUCUAUCAUUUUAAAUGAUGUUUUAGUGCUGCCUUUUGCUCUCACCUGAGCUUAGGGCAGCUUCAGCAUUCAGCACGGAUUAACAGAGCUCUAAAAGAAAACGAAAGAAGGGGACGCUGCAUGCUGUGGUGGUAGUGCACCCAGACACUGCUCCACAUACACAUGCAUAUGGAUGCUCCUCGUGCAGCAUUGCAGAGUUGGUCCUCUUAUGACACGAGCUGCUGUUCACAACUAUUACUCCCCUGCUGAUAACGUGACACAUCAUAGAAAUGCCAAAAAUAUCUCCAGGAGAAAAGGAGUGGAGAUGGGUGCAAGUGGAGAGCUAAAUAGUUGCUCUCAAGCGUACUUGUCUAAAAAAAGCACCCCGCCUUUAACACCAAAGGGUAUUACUACAACAUAGCUGUGAGUUGGCAAACACUCUGUCAUAGGGGGACUCCUCAGGACCUUACUGGAGUAUUAUUUGUCCCUAAAGUGCAUUUGUAUACUUUUAACAUUAAAAAGCAAGAGAGCAGGAACGCUCAGAGCUCUCUCUGUCUCUUUCUCUCGAUAACGUUCUUUGAAUGAUUAGGUUGGGUAUGGGUAUAUCUCUUGAACUGGGGAUUACAAGUACAGCAUAACCUUUUUUGAGGUGUAGGUGAAACCUAGCCCAUCUAGUGGGCUGAAAAAUCUCAUAAGCACCCAGGAAUGUGGUCACCCUUUGGCAGCAGUGACGAGUGAUGUCACCCAAUACACUCGAGAUCUCCUGCCUCGUCCCUGACUAGGUUCGGUACUGGUCAGUCCCAUUUGGCAUGGAGAAAAGCUCCCACAUGAGCUAUGUCACCAGCAGCAGAGCCAAAUCAAGACAAAGAUGGAGUAAGUUGGGUCAAAGGAGCUGCUGGUGGAUCUAUUUUCAUCAUACUUGGCAAGCCAACAUUUUAACUCGUGCUUAUUUUAUUAACAAGAACAAGUCCGAGUCAGAAAUGUGAUGUAAAGGGAGGAGGAAGAGAAAAUACCCCCCAGCAAUUCAGAUGCUGUCCUCCUCUGAGAUACGAAGAUGCAUCAGGAAAACAGCAAGGAAUAAUGUUUGGGAUUACAGCAGCAGCCAGGGGAGCCAAACACAAGAGUCACUGCAAUUACCUUAGGGAUGAGAGUAACUUGCAGCCAGCCUUCCUCUGAAAUGCAGGCGGAGAAUGACCACAGAUGCCUUACAGGAGACUUAAUUGUCCUUGCCAACAAGGCUCAUUAUCCAUACAUAAACAUAUGUGCUGCUUUUUUAACAGCAAAGUGCACUUUUUCAAGAGAGUAUUUUACAUCUGAACUGCUUGAGUGUCAAAUUAGAUGAGUCUGGCUUGCUUUUAAUUACGCCAGCCAUUGGUUUGUGCAGAAGGAGAAGGGCUGUGCCACUUCUGAAGGCACAAGAGGAUUGCUAUGUAUAAAACAGAUAGUUUCAUCAUUCCACGAGAGCAGUGCUGGAGAUCAGCAACGAGUCUGAAUUCAUAUUUCAGAAGGUUUUUGCUCUGGGUUUCAGCCAAGAUCACCUUUUCAAGAGGUUUCUGCCUCUCACUGAUUCAAGUUUACAUAAAACGAGAGCUGGACCUUGAGUCUGUUGCCCCACACCUCCUGCAGUCACUUGUACUUCAGCAGGCAGGUGGAACACACGGCCAGGCCAGAAAAAUAACUUUUUAUCCUCAUUCUGCAUUCGUGUAAAUCAGUGGAGAACCAGACCCCAGGGAAAUAGGCAAUUUCCUGCAGGUAUUUAACAAGGCGCACAGGGAAAACAGAAAGAGGAUGGCCGUUCCCAGGGCAGAAUUGCCAAGGAAGCCAUUUUCCCUCCUUGGGCUCCAUUUGCAGGCACCUUGCUUCUGAUGGAGAUGAGCCCCAGGUUUUUCCAAGGCCAUGUAUGUGUGCUGUUGGGAGGGGGCACAAACUGAGGACUAGUGGGAUGGGCAUCCGGGCAAGUUGGGCAGGUGGGGCGAAAGCACUGAGGGGAUUCAUCUUUUUUCCAGGCCAUCGCAUGGAUGUUAACCAGGAGCCCCGUUCACAUCUUUUCAGUUUGGCCAGGUUUUUCAAAGGAUGAAAAUAACUGCAGAGGUAAUCAAACUGCUGGAUAUUCUAGUGGGGGAAGUGUAGCUUAAACGUGCCAAAAUGCAGCUUCUGCCAAAAGCUGCUCGAUGAACAAGACGGUUUUUGUGAUCUGGUGUUCACUUCCCUCUUUUCGUAAGCAGGAGUGAAGAAUAACUGUUUUGGCAAGAGCUGGACGUGUGGUCUGUCCCAUGAGCAGGCUGGCUGGCACAGUGCACCACAUUCGCAGAGCCUGGGCAGCCCUACAGUUCACAGCAAGUUAAAAUCACCGGGCUUAUUUUGUAUGCAGCCUGGUGAGGUGCCCCAGGGGCCCCAGCACUGUGAUUCAGCAGUGCUAACACAACCUCUGCCAUCUCCACGCAUGGACUUUGCAAAGCACAGCUUGCCAUCCUUUAUUUCUUAGGAAUAAAAACUGAUAGCCAGGCCUGGCUCCUAUCGGGGCAAGGCACAGAUCUCUCCCGUGAACAGGACAGCAGACUUUGCAAGAGUAUUUUUGGGGUUCUACAUUUUCUAGAUAAUUACAGUAAAACAUGGAAUUUUGUGAUGAAAGCCAUAGUUAAAGUGCAGUGUUGAAAGCCUUUAAAAAGUCUGUAUUCAGUACGAACUUAGCAGGAAAACAUCUGUGUGUACAGGAAUGGGAACCUGAUGCCUGCAGCAAGUCUCGCCUCAUACAAAUAUAAGUUCAGGUUUGAAACUCGUAACUCAGGGUUCAGUCUCUCAUAUUAAUGUGAAAAAAACCUUUAAGAAUCAAUUGGAGAUUUCUGUUGUCAGAGCAAGGCCACGAACUGAGGCUCUUCAGCCUCCUGAGUGCCACUUCUAAAAUCUCAAGGUACUCUGUACUCUUCGUGUCAAAAACAGGGGGGGAACUACAUGAGUGAUGGCUGUUACUUCUCAGCUAGUACUGAAGCGAGGGGUCCUGCCUGUUUGUACCAAAAGCAGCAUCAGCAAACCAGUGUGUGCAACCAAAUCCAGGCAUUUAAAAAAGCUGAAGCGUAAGUCAUCAACCUGCAAGAGAGAUCAGAAAACCAGGAGACAUUAUAGUCCAUUCUAAUUGCCCUCUUUCUUCUUGCCAGUGUCCCUUCAGAACUUGGUUUGCAAGAGCUUUUCCCUGCUGAAGGCGUUCAGCUGUCACUUUUGUUUUCACCUCCUUUGUUACUCUGAGCUUUCACUCCAAAAAAUGGGAUUUAUUACUACAGAAAUUGAGAUAGCAGGGAAACGCAGCGAUGUCUGGAGACUCGGACUGAGGUCAACAAGAGUGAGCAAUAGAACCAUGUAUAACAAAACAGGGAUACAACAAAUAAGAGCAGCCGAUGUAUUUAUAUCUCCUUCCUCAUUGAUGAGAUAGAAAAUGGACACAAACCCACGAAAGAAAAUCCUCUAACGAACCCAAAGCGUGAACAAGAGAGAUGUGAGUAUAUAUCGAUGUAUAAGGAUGUACAUCCUGCAGAGGGAGCAGCAGCUGUGCCCCGUGGUUGGAAGGAGCUCUGGGCACAAGAAGCAGCACAGGGUGGGGAAUGGCAGGGACAAGGGGCACAGACACCUUUGUGCCCUUGUUUUGGUUCCCAAUCCUGCAGUAUUUGGCUCCGUCCGGUGUUCAAACAUUGCAAAUCAAAUGCUGCACCAAUUAGGUCAUUGGUUUUAGAGGGAAGCUCUGAGUGAACGACAAGGAUGGAGAGAUUUGGGCUUUUGUCCAUGUGUGUUUGUGAAGCUGCUUUUCAUAGAAUGAGAGAACCAGGGAAUAUCCUGGAAGGGACUCACAGUGUUACCUCUGAGUCUGAUCCUGGCUCCACACAGCACCACCCAAACCCCGCAUCUGAGAGCCAUGUCCCAAAGCUCCCGGAGCUCCGGCAGCUCAGGGCUGUGUUUACAACAAGUGCAUGCUGUAGAAGUUCUCCCAAGACCAACAGCUGGCAAAGCUGCUGCCUGCUGGGCCCCUCUUUUCCCAUUUUCAGCAUGCUCAGGUGGUGCGGGGCUGUUUCAGGGCACAUAAAGAGCUUUGCCAAGGAGCAUGCAAAGGAAGGCUGUUCAGCGUGGGUGACUAUUCCCCUCCCCCUUUUUUUUUCCCUUUCUUUCCCCCCAGACGGAGCCUUGGCACAACUUCUGGAUCUCCUACGUUGCCAUCUGAUAGCAGCGCUCGUCUUGUGUGGCACUUGGCACCCACCGAAGGACUUUUAGGCAGGGCUUUUCGCAAGUAACUGUGAAGUCUCUGCAUGGUGCGAGCUCUGGAAUUCACUCAGAAGGUGAUGAUAACUCCAGAAUCUGCUGAAAAAGUAACCCUGGUCUCGUCCUCUUGUGGCAGCCUGAAGUUGGAGUGGGUGAGACUGGCCGGGCCACUCAGGGAUGGACAUGUGUGAGACUUUCUCCUACUGACUGGGAAAGGACUCGGUGGAGGAAGUAAAUUAGGAUGCUUAAUUAACAGGCCGAGGUAAUUAGUGCAUGCCCAGCUUCAGGACUGCUGGGAAGGUACAGAAGUCAAUGGGAAGAGCCAGGUGAGGUUUGGUAGGUGUUAAUCCGGUGCUUUGUCUGCUAAAUCUCUGCUGGGAUGAGCAAGCACUGGUUAUGUGACCCUGGUUAUGGGAUACUGCAGGCUCAGGAGAGCCCGGUUGGGUUUAAUGCUCGAAUUUCCCCAAAAUGUGGAUCCUGCUCUUAAAUAACAGCAGUAAAGCUAUUCUACAUUCUAAUGCAUGGUGGUAUAAUAAAUGUAGUGAAACCGAAUCCCGUCUCCUGUAGAGCACCAGAAUUUGGGGGGC
This is a long non-coding RNA of Gallus gallus (chicken), 13456 nucleotides long. RefSeq lists it as uncharacterized. NCBI's taxonomy places the organism in Eukaryota, Metazoa, Chordata, Aves, Galliformes, Phasianidae. The transcript is spliced from 3 exons. The record is from RefSeq and is a predicted model, not a curated record.